UAUCUCUCCGUACGGGGAAGGAUGAGAAGCUUCGACUAAGGUUCGAUUCGAGCGCAGCGAGAAAGCGUUGCCGCAGGCAACGACCCGAAGGGCGAAGCGCGCAGCGCUGAGU
Molecule: small RNA, 112 nt
Filed under: Salmonella enterica
Lineage: Bacteria; Pseudomonadati; Pseudomonadota; Gammaproteobacteria; Enterobacterales; Enterobacteriaceae
Also listed under: 4 other names
Description: partial RtT sRNA
Rfam family: RtT RNA
About the family: This family represents a bacterial cis-regulatory element known as RtT RNA. The exact function of RtT is unknown although it is thought that it may be involved in changing the cellular response in relation to amino acid starvation.
Source: RNAcentral